UGAGGAAUUUUGGACAAUGGGGGAAACCCUGAUCCAGCGAUGUCGCGUGUAUGAUGAAGGCCAUUCGGUUGUAAAGUACUUUCGUCGGUGAAGAUAAUGACGGUAACCGAAAAAGAAGCUCCGGCUAACUUCGUGCCAGCAGCCGCGGUAAUACGAAGGGAGCAAGCGUUGCUCGGAAUAAUUGGGCGUAAAGGGUGCGUAGGCGGUUUUUUAAGUCAGAUGUUAAAGACUGGGACUCAAUCUCAGGAAUGCAUUUGAUACUGGAAAACUUGAGUGUGGGAGAGGAAACAGGAAUUCCUCAUGUAGAGGUGAAAUUCGUAGAUAUGAGGAGGAACACCAGAGGCGAAGGCGAGUUUCUGGAACACCACUGACGCUGAGGCACGAAAGCGUGGGUAGCAAACAGG
RNAcentral lists this ribosomal RNA (404 nucleotides) under uncultured bacterium. RNAcentral's name for it is "bacterial SSU rRNA". It matches the Rfam family "Bacterial small subunit ribosomal RNA", at positions 355 to 776 of the family's 1533-position model. The record is from RNAcentral.